GCAGAACAGGGCAUUAGUUUUCCAUAUUAUAAUUGUAUCGGUGAUAGUUUACACUGGGAUAUCUGUAUACAUUACCUCCAGCCCUGAAGACAGUACAGCAAAAUAAAAUAAAUAUUAUUUAGAAUUGCAGAGUGUUUAUCUUGCAAAUUCCCUAUCCAGAUAUUAUUGUGUCUAAAUUAUUUAUUGCUUAGAUUUUGUUUUCAUAUUUUUCUCAUUAAUUACAAUGACCGAUUAGAAAGGGUAAAGUAUAAAACGUUAUUAUUAACGCAUAUUAAAAUAAAAUGAUCUUGGAAGAGUGUGAAUAAAGACGAUCUGUUCACAUUUCUCUCUUUUUUAUAUUUUAACUGCAUGUUAAUAAUGAGACUGUA
Pelobates cultripes (western spadefoot toad) is the source of this 368-nucleotide non-coding RNA. Lineage: Eukaryota; Metazoa; Chordata; Amphibia; Anura; Pelobatidae. The record is from the annotation of a GenBank genome assembly.